UGGCGCUGCAAUGUAAACAUUGCAGCUGUCUGGAACUGCAAUGUUUUACAUUGCAGCACUA
This 61-nucleotide microRNA precursor is filed under the name Pelobates cultripes (western spadefoot toad). Lineage: Eukaryota; Metazoa; Chordata; Amphibia; Anura; Pelobatidae. The record is from RNAcentral.